RNAcentral lists this ribosomal RNA (497 nucleotides) under uncultured bacterium. RNAcentral's name for it is "partial 16S ribosomal RNA". It matches the Rfam family "Bacterial small subunit ribosomal RNA", at positions 28 to 507 of the family's 1533-position model. The record is from RNAcentral.
GAUGAACGCUGGCGGCGUGCCUAAUACAUGCAAGUCGAGCGAACAGAUGAGGAGCUUGCUCCUCUGACGUUAGCGGCGGACGGGUGAGUAACACGUGGAUAACCUAUCUAUCAGACUGGGAUAACUUCGGGAAACCGGAGCUAAUACCGGAUAAUAUAUUCAACCGCAUGGUUCUAUAGUGAAAGACGGUUUUGCUGUCACUUAUAGAUGGAUCCGCGCCGCAUUAGCUAGUUGGUAAGGUAACGGCUUACCAAGGCACCGAUGCGUAGCCGACGUGAGAGGGGGAUAGGCCACACUGGAACUUGGACACGGACCAGACUCCUACGGGAGGCAGCAGUAGGGAAUCGUCCGCAAUGGGCGAAAGCCUGACGGAGCAACGCCGCGUGAGUGAUGAAGGUCUUCGGAGCGUAAAACUCUGUUAUGAGGGAAGAACAAAUGUGUAAGUAACUAUGCACGUCUUGACGGUACCUAAACAGAAAGCCACGGCUAACUACGUG